GUCAGGCUGCAACCCGCCUGCAUGAAGUUGGAAUCGCUAGUAAUCGCGGAUCAGCAUGCCGCGGUGAAUACGUUCCCGGGCCUUGUACACACCGCCCGUCACACCAUGAGAGUCGGGAACACCCGAAGUCCGUAGCCUAACCGCGAAGGGGGGCGCGGCCGAAGGUGGGUUCGAUAAUUGGGGUGAAGUCGUAACAAGGUACC
This 203-nucleotide ribosomal RNA is filed under the name uncultured bacterium. RNAcentral describes it as "partial 16S ribosomal RNA". It matches the Rfam family "Bacterial small subunit ribosomal RNA", at positions 1300 to 1500 of the family's 1533-position model. The record is from RNAcentral.